RNAcentral lists this long non-coding RNA (247 nucleotides) under Gossypium barbadense (sea-island cotton). Its description in RNAcentral is "long non-coding RNA (GBAR_LNC009671)". The record is from RNAcentral. Lineage: Eukaryota; Viridiplantae; Streptophyta; Magnoliopsida; Malvales; Malvaceae.
AACGUUAAUAUUUUGUCAAUUUGUCUCUUUUUUUUUUUAGCUAAAUUUAGCGCUCAACCUUUUAAAAAGAGUUGAAUUGCUUUUGUAAAUGGAAAUGAUCAUUAAAACAUUAAUUUCCUAACGAUGUUGGCAUGGUAAUUAAUGUGGCAGUUUAUGUAUAUUUCAUGUUGAUAUGAUAUUAUUUAUCUUGUUUGCCACGUCAACAAAUAAUUAUAAAAAAUUCAAAAAGAAUCAAAAUAAAUAUAUA